GACGAACCGUGCAAACGUUGUUCGGAAUCACUGGGCUUAAAGGGCGCGUAGGCGGGCAGGCAAGUCGAAGGUGAAAUCCCACGGCUCAACCGUGGAAGUGCCCCCGAUACUGCCUGUCUCGAGGGAGAUAGGGGCGUGCGGAACUUCCGGUGGAGCGGUGAAAUGCGUAGAUAUCGGAAGGAACACCGGUGGCGAAAGCGGCGCGCUGGAUCUCUUCUGACGCUGAUGCGCGAAAGCCAGGGGAGCAAACGGG
Molecule: ribosomal RNA, 253 nt
Filed under: uncultured bacterium
Lineage: Bacteria
Description: partial 16S ribosomal RNA
Rfam family: Bacterial small subunit ribosomal RNA
Source: RNAcentral